Molecule: non-coding RNA, 118 nt
Organism: Aedes albopictus (Asian tiger mosquito)
Lineage: Eukaryota; Metazoa; Arthropoda; Insecta; Diptera; Culicidae
Source: Rfam
UGCCCACCAACUCCUAUCCAGACCUUCUCGUGGUACCGGCCGGAAACAAUGAGCACCCUUAAGGAAGAUCGGGAAACCAACCCCGGUGGGAACUUUGGUCGUAGGCUGACAGGGAAGG